CUUAGUNUCAUUCGGAUUNUAGGCUGAAACUCGCCUACAUGAAGCUGGAGUUGCUAGUAAUCGCGAAUCAGCAUGUCGCGGUGAAUAGUUCCCGGGCCUUGUACACACCGCCCGUCACACCAUGGGAGUUUGUAACACCCGAAGUCAGUAUCCUAACCGCAAGGGGGGAGCUGCCGAAGGUGGGAUAAGCGACUGGGGUGAAGUCGUAACAAGGUACC
This 218-nucleotide ribosomal RNA is filed under the name uncultured bacterium. Its description in RNAcentral is "partial 16S ribosomal RNA". It matches the Rfam family "Bacterial small subunit ribosomal RNA", at positions 1282 to 1500 of the family's 1533-position model. The record is from RNAcentral.